This 111-nucleotide small RNA is filed under the name Hemiselmis andersenii. RNAcentral describes it as "partial Betaproteobacteria transfer-messenger RNA". Lineage: Eukaryota; Cryptophyceae; Cryptomonadales; Hemiselmidaceae. The record is from RNAcentral.
GAGGAGCAGGACACCGGACGCAGCGUGCAAGUCGAUAGCGACAGCCGUCAUCAAAAAGUAUGGCGCAAAAAACACAAAGCCAAACGACGACCUGACCGUAGUCGCCGCCUA